AUUGAACGCUAGCGGGAUGCUUUACACAUGCAAGUCGAACGGCAGCGCGGACUUCGGUCUGGCGGCGAGUGGCGAACGGGUGAGUAAUGUAUCGGAACGUGCCCAGUAGCGGGGGAUAACUACGCGAAAGCGUAGCUAAUACCGCAUACGCCCUACGGGGGAACGCAGGGGAUCGUAAGACCUUGCACUAUUGGAGCGGCCGAUAUCGGAUUAGCUAGUUGGUGAGGUAACGGCUCACCAAGGCGACGAUCCGUAGCUGGUUUGAGAGGACGACCAGCCACACUGGAACUGAGACACGGCCCAGACUCCUACGGGAGGCAGCAGUGGGGAAUUUUGGACAAUGGGGGCAACCCUGAUCCAGCCAUCCCGCGUGUGCGAUGAAGGCCUUCGGGUUGUAAAGCACUUUUGGCAGGAAAGAAACGUCGCGGGCUAAUACCCCGUGGAACUGACGGUACCUGCAGAAUAAGCACCGGCUAACUACGUG
RNAcentral lists this ribosomal RNA (484 nucleotides) under uncultured bacterium. Its description in RNAcentral is "partial 16S ribosomal RNA". It matches the Rfam family "Bacterial small subunit ribosomal RNA", at positions 30 to 507 of the family's 1533-position model. The record is from RNAcentral.